RNAcentral lists this ribosomal RNA (564 nucleotides) under uncultured bacterium. Its description in RNAcentral is "partial 16S ribosomal RNA". It matches the Rfam family "Bacterial small subunit ribosomal RNA", at positions 355 to 914 of the family's 1533-position model. The record is from RNAcentral.
CUAAGAAUAUUCCGCAAUGGACGGAAGUCUGACGGAGCGACGCCGCGUGGAUGACGAAGGCCGAAAGGUUGUAAAGUUCUUUUGCUGGGGAAGAAUAACCGCAGGAGGGAAUGCCUGUGGGAUGACAAGAACCGGCGAAUAAGCCCCGGCCAACUACGUGCCAGCAGCCGCGGUAACACGUAGGGGGCGAGCGUUGUUCGGAAUUACUGGGCGUAAAGGGCAUGUAGGCGGCUUGGAAAGCCUGGCGUGAAAGUCUGCAGCUUAACUGCAGGGGUGCGCUGGGAACUGCUGAGCUUGAGUGACGGAGAGGGAGCUGGAAUUCCUGGUGUAGGGGUGAAAUCUGUAGAUAUCAGGAAGAACACCGAUGGCGAAGGCAAGCUCCUGGCCGAUGACUGACGCUGAGGCGCGAAAGUGUGGGGAUCAAACAGGAUUAGAUACCCUGGUAGUCCACACAGUCAACGAUGUGCACUAGGUGCUGGGGCGGUAGCUUCGGUGCCGGAGCGAACGUGGUAAGUGCACCGCCUGGGGAGUAUGCUCGCAAGGGUGAAACUCAAAUGAAUUGAC